RNAcentral lists this ribosomal RNA (686 nucleotides) under uncultured bacterium. Its description in RNAcentral is "bacterial SSU rRNA". It matches the Rfam family "Bacterial small subunit ribosomal RNA", at positions 56 to 750 of the family's 1533-position model. The record is from RNAcentral.
UGCAGUCGAACGGUGAUAGCAAUAUCAUAGNUGGCGCACGGGUGCGUAACACGUAUGCAACCUACCUUAUACUGAGGGAUAGCCUUUCGAAAGGGAGAUUAAUACCUCAUAACACAUUGAACUGGCAUCAGUUUAUUGUUAAAGAUUUAUUGGUAUAAGAUGGGCAUGCGUCCAAUUAGUUAGUUGGCGAGGUAACGGCUCACCAAGACGAUGAUUGGUAGGGGAAUUGAGAGGUUAAUCCCCCACACUGGCACUGAGAUACGGGCCAGACUCCUACGGGAGGCAGCAGUAGGGAAUAUUGGGCAAUGGAGGCGACUCUGACCCAGCCAUGCCGCGUGCAGGAAGAAGGCGUUAUGCGUUGUAAACUGCUUUUAUAUAGGAAGAAAUAGACCUUGCGAGGUAAGUUGACGGUACUAUAUGAAUAAGCACCGGCUAACUCCGUGCCAGCAGCCGCGGUAAUACGGAGGGUGCAAGCGUUGUCCGGAUUUAGUGGGUUUAAAGGGUGCGUAGGCGGUUUAUUAAGUCAGUGGUGAAAGUCGGUCGCUCAACGAUUGCAGUGCCAUUGAUACUGGUAGACUUGAGUGGGAUUGAGGUAGCUGGAAUGGAUAGUGUAGCGGUGAAAUGCAUAGAUAUUAUCCAGAACACCAAUUGCGUANGCAAGUUACUAAGUCUCAACUGACGCUGAG